This is a long non-coding RNA of Scleropages formosus (Asian bonytongue), 254 nucleotides long. RefSeq lists it as uncharacterized. Lineage: Eukaryota; Metazoa; Chordata; Actinopteri; Osteoglossiformes; Osteoglossidae. The transcript has 3 exons. The record is from RefSeq and is a predicted model, not a curated record.
CACGGUGUGACGUGGCGCCUCGCUCGCUGUCUGUCCCGCGCUUAGCUUUCGCGCAUCACUCUGCAGGUUGGCUGGGUGCAGGAUCUCAACCUUUCAGAUGUUUGUUUUAGGCCACCUCUCAGAAAAGGCCAUGGUCCAGUUCAGAGUACCCAACCUGCCACUGCUGACCAUCAUCCUCACCAAUUCCCAUCGUCACCAGCUAUUGGACACCCUCCCAUGUCUCCAGUUCAGGCCCAACCUCAACCUCAAGGCUC